Anthonomus grandis grandis is the source of this 551-nucleotide long non-coding RNA. RefSeq lists it as uncharacterized. The transcript is spliced from 3 exons. The record is from RefSeq and is a predicted model, not a curated record. Lineage: Eukaryota; Metazoa; Arthropoda; Insecta; Coleoptera; Curculionidae.
ACAUUUCCCAGCUCCAACUAAACCAACAAGUAAGCCCAAAGAAGCCAAACCUAAAAAAGAGUGUCAAAAAAACCGGCACAAAAAGAGAAAUAACCCGCUAAUGCGGAAGAACUGGUAUCAAAAAAACAUACUCAGCUGGUAUUAGAAGCCAAAAAAGAAGAGUCCUUAUCGGACUGGUACUCACAAGUGAUUACCAAAGGCGAGUUGAUCGAAUACUACGACGUUUUUGGUUGGUAUAUCCUCAGGCCGUGGUCGUUCGCCAUCUGGAAAGUGAUACGGAACUAAUUCGAUGCGGAAAUCACGAAACUCGGUGUUAAGCAGUGUUUUUUCCCGAUUUUUAUGUCUAAAGCGAUGCUGGAGAGAGAGAAGGAUCAUAUUACUGAUUUUUCACCCGAAGUUGCAUGGGUAACUAAAUCCGGUGAUUCCGAUUUGGCGGAACCAAUUGCUGUUCGUCCCGCGUCCGAAACUGUUAUGUAUCUUGUUUAGGCCAAGAGGAUUCAGUCGUAUCGUGAUCUGCCCAUUAGAUUAAGCCACUGUUAUAUUAAAAUAAU